AUGAAUGUCUUAAGCUGGAACUGCCGGGGAGGGGGGAAUACCCCGACAGUUCGUGAACUAGCGACUAUCUGUCAGUCACAUUCCCCCAGUUUGGUGUUUUUGUGUGAAACAAGACAGAGGGCUGAAAAAAUGAAAAAGGUGCGUGGGAGGAUUGGUUUGAAGGGUUUUGCUGGAGUUGAUAGCAAUGGCAUGAGUGGUGGUCUGGCGUUAUUUUGGCAUGAAACUAUGAGGUGGACAUUCUGGACAAAGAGGAGCACUAUAUUGACGCACUCGUCUGUGUUCAGGAGGGGGCUGCUCAAUGGAGGAUUACUUGUAUUUAUGGUGAACCACGAGUAG
Molecule: ribosomal RNA, 336 nt
Filed under: Triticum aestivum (bread wheat)
Lineage: Eukaryota; Viridiplantae; Streptophyta; Magnoliopsida; Poales; Poaceae
Description: partial small subunit ribosomal RNA
Source: RNAcentral